Molecule: long non-coding RNA, 1625 nt
Organism: Scylla paramamosain (green mud crab)
Lineage: Eukaryota; Metazoa; Arthropoda; Malacostraca; Decapoda; Portunidae
Exons: 2
Source: RefSeq, a predicted model, not a curated record
UCUGCUUAAGUGAUAUUUUCUCCUUGUAUCCCUCUAGUACCGUUUCGUGUACUGCCGCCAUCCUUUAGUCUUGACUUUUAAGUGUCACAUGAAUUGCGCAGCGGCGUCAGAAGAUUAUUAGCCUUGGCAGAAACGAACGAACCACGUAAUCGUAUUGACUGUUUCUUGUUAGUCGAGAGGCUCGGGACAUGACGGACGAUGGUGUUGUUUUUACCGGCCAGUCUCGGUCGCCGCCGCCGCCGCCGCCGCCGCCGCCCCUCGCGUGCACGUGCUGCUCGUGGGCAUCGCUGGUAGCUGCGAUAAGGGCUUUGUGUGCACCCUUAUUAUGCCUCGGUUUCAUUAGAUUUCAUCUUAUAUGGAAGCAGUGUAAGAAUGGGAUAAUCAUAGGUAUUUGCAUAUCAUUAAUGGGGUGUGGCCGCCGUAGACAAGGGAGCAAAAAAUGGACCGUCAGCAGCUGCCCGCGGGGCACACCUGGCGUAGUCUAGCACGUGCGUUGCCAUGGCGAUGGCGUCCUACAGCGCGCUGCCGGACGCAUGACUUAAUUUUACUUUGACGAUUAAAGCGCACUGUACUGCAGAGACGAUAGUUUAAGUCCCUAAUUUGUCAUGAGGUAAAUAACAAGUCUGCUCAAUAGUCCGUUUAAGUAACGAAGACGGAAAGGUUCCACGAGCUCUUAAUGACCACAUCUGCCUGGCAGCCACUUCUCAGCCAGUCAUCACCCGGCCAGCGAAGGAUGUGGAUGCGUGACGCUCGCUCCGUCCGCCGUGCUCUCUCUGGCCACCGGGCUCGCUGAUCCUCCCCACGCGCGUGUUCUUCGGGUGCCACUGUCAGGGUUUUAGAUUCAUAUUUGUGCCACUAGUUACGCAAACUGAAGAGCAGGAUUAAUGUUGGGAACAAGCUGAUAGUGUUGGAAACGAGUGCUUCAACAAGUGGCUUAUUGAAGGCUUUGAUCACCACUCUGUGUCCUCGUCAGCCAUGGGCGGGACCUGUACCUCCAGUUCCUUCCUGCCGCUGCUCCUGGCCACCCUCAGCAUCACGCACGCUGAGAGAGGGAGACGAAGAGUCGAUAUCCUGGCGGUGCCCUCGUGCCUUGCUGCCCUUGACUGUGUGCUGCGUUCAGCGAGAAACUUGCACACCUUGCACUCGUCUGCCUCACCCAAUCACGGCGGCGAAGGUGAUAAAAGACAUAUCUGAUUUGGUGAGGAGACGAGCAUAUUGAAGGCGCUCUUUCUAGUCAGUUCGAGGUCUUGCCGACACCUACAAUGUGUCCCUCUCCGCCCCGUCACCCCGAAGCCUGCAGCCCCGCACCCUCGCCUUCCCUGCCCCACCUCGCCCCACCUCCUGAGUUGAGACGUUCCCUCGAGGAAGGUGUAAAUGCAAAGGGAAUAAAUGUUUUGUGCUUCAGAAUUCAUGUUUCUGGAUGCAGACGUCUCUCUCUCUCUCUCUCUCUCUCUCUCUCUCUCUCUCUCUCUCUCUCUCUCUCUCUCUCUCUCUCUCUCUCUCUCUCUCUCUCUCUCUCUCUCUCUCUCUCUCUCUCUCUCUCACACACACACACACACACACACACACACACACACACACACACACACACACACACACACACCACACACACACACACACACACA